Molecule: ribosomal RNA, 440 nt
Filed under: uncultured bacterium
Lineage: Bacteria
Description: partial 16S ribosomal RNA
Rfam family: Bacterial small subunit ribosomal RNA
Source: RNAcentral
CCUACGGGGGGCAGCAGUGGGGGAUAUUGCACAAUGGGGGAAACCCUGAUGCAGCGACGCCGCGUGUGGGAAGACGGUCCUCUGGAUUGUAAACCACUGUCCCCAGGGACGAAGAUGCCGGUACCUGGGGAGGAAGCUCCGGCUAACUACGUGCCAGCAGCUGCGGUAAUACGUAGGGAGCGAGGGUUGUCCGGAAUUACUGGGUGUAAAGGGAGCGUAGGCGGGACUGGAAGUUGGGUGUCAAAUCUACCGGCUCACACGGUAGCCGCACUCAAAACUGCAGUUCUUGAGUGAAGUAGAGGCAGGCGGAAUUCCUAGUGUAGCGGGGAAAUGCGUAGAUAUUAGGAGGAACACCAGUGGCGAAGGCGGCCUGCUGGGCUUUUACUGACGCUGAGGCUCGAAAGUGUGGGGAGCGAACAGGAUUAGAUACCCGGGUAGUC